Molecule: ribosomal RNA, 465 nt
Filed under: uncultured bacterium
Lineage: Bacteria
Description: partial 16S ribosomal RNA
Rfam family: Bacterial small subunit ribosomal RNA
Source: RNAcentral
GACGAACGCUGGCGGCGUGCUUAACACAUGCAAGUCGAACGGAAAGGCCCCUUUGGGGGUACUCGAGUGGCGAACGGGUGCGUAACACGUGAGUAACCUUCCCUUGACUUCGGGAUAACUUCAGGAAACUGGGGCUAAUACCGGAUAGGAAUCCUUGCUGCAUGGUGGGGGUUGGAAAGCUUCGGCGGUUUUGGAUGGACUCGCGGCUUAUCAGCUUGUUGGUGGGGUAGUGGCUUACCAAGGCUUUGACGGGUAGCCGGCCUGAGAGGGCGACCGGCCACAUUGGGACUGAGGUACGGCCCAGACGCCUACGGGAGGAAGCAGGGGGGAAUAUUGCACAAGGGGCGGAAGGCUGAUGCAGAAAGGCCGCGGGCGGGAUGACGGCCUUCGGGUUGUAAACCGCUUGCAGCAGGGGCGAAGCUUGUGGUGACGGUACCUGCAGAAGAAGCACCGGCUAACUACGUG